RNAcentral lists this ribosomal RNA (253 nucleotides) under uncultured bacterium. RNAcentral's name for it is "partial 16S ribosomal RNA". It matches the Rfam family "Bacterial small subunit ribosomal RNA", at positions 524 to 776 of the family's 1533-position model. The record is from RNAcentral.
UACGGAGGGUGCAAGCGUUGCUCGGAAUCAUUGGGCGUAAAGCGCACGUAGGCGGCUCGGUAAGUCGGAUGUGAAAGCCCUGGGCUCAACCCAGGAAGUGCAUUCGAAACUGGCGAGCUUGAAUAUUGAAGAGGGUCGCGGAAUUCCCGGUGUAGAGGUGAAAUUCGUAGAUAUCGGGAGGAACACCAGUGGCGAAGGCGGCGACCUGGGCAAAUAUUGACGCUGAGGUGCGAAAGCGUGGGGAUCAAACAGG